GGCCAACUGCCCUGCGUCUCUACUCCUCCAAGGCUCCAACACCCCUUCGCUGACCCCCUGCCUGCCGGGCUGCCGGACAGAAUUUUGCUGAGGCCAACCACAUCACAAACGGCACACAGGUAAACUAACAUCUUUCGCCAAAUUCCCCAUUUACUAAGUAGUAGCCUUAUUUUGUUUAGUUGCUUACAUCUCGUGAUAAGUAGUAGCCUGUCAGAGAAGAAUUGAUCUAGGACUUGUUAAUAUUGGUGAGUCAUGCAUGUACAUGUGUCUAUAUUUGUGGAUCUCAGAUAUCAGUCUUCAGGCGUUCAUAUAUGUUUGUGCCUGCAGUCUUUCAUUUAGCUCCGGAUGCUGUGAAAAAUCUUCGUAGAUUUAUACUGUGCCAUCUGCACAAUGUCAAAAUGUUUCUAAUAGCCGAAGUUAUUUUCUGCUACUUAUUCUAGUUUUGAUGCACCCAGAAUUUCGUUAUAAUUACCAAAAUAUUGCAGGUGUCGAUGGAGGAACAGGUGGUAAUGUAAUUCUUGGUUUCUCAAGAUCUGUCUGGGAUUUCAGUAACUUGCAACAUCACACGGUAUGCUUUUGGUAAUUAAACUUACAUUUUGCUCCAGCAAUGCAUCUUACUGAAACCUUAUAAUAACCAAUAUCCUCAAGUGCCUUAAUUGAUCAUCGCUGUUAUAAUAAAAUAACACAUAUGAUUCUCCGACUAAAAGAAGUUUAUCCCAAUUCUCUUCACCAAAUCACGCACGACUUGUGGAAUAUUUUCUACGCAUUCAUUGUCCUUGUACGACAGCAAGUGUACCAACACCUGAUUUCGUAGGUCAUAAUCGUCCUGCACGUGAAUUAUGCUGUCAUGCAAGGCUCACAUCUAAAAGGACACAUGAAUGGUGAAUGUAGAGUACUCACUGGGACAACUGGUAAUCCAUGUUCAUGAUCAUGCCACGUGCGCAUAAUCUUUAAAACUAAAAACCCAGACAUAUUGCUGCAUAGGAGUAAAUGUUAUUAGCAAUAUGAUAGAUGAAAAUAUGGUCAAAUAAUUGGAAUGUUAAGGUUAUAACCUGUUUGGGUUUUUUGGAACUCCAAGUGGUAUGAUGCGACGCCAUCUAAAAACAUCAUCAUUCCAGCCAGGAAUUGCAUCUUGUAAUGCUAUGUUUAGAUGGAAUGAAAUACAUUGAAUCUUAAGUAUGUCCUUCUGUGAAGGAUUCUUUUUCCAUGCAUCCGAUAGGGGAAGAGGGUCGAGUAUAGUGAUUGUUCUAUCCAAUAGGUCGAACAGGAAGAGGAUGAAGCGACCGGUUGUACAAAACGGCAACAAAAUCUGUGUGAAGUAGGCUUUAGAAAUAAAAUACGGGUGAAAAGCACACACAGAGAUGGGAAGUAUGAUUACCAACUUGCACACCGAGACGUCAAAGCACAUAUCAGGCCAACGAUGAAAUAGUUUUGCAAUAAUGUAGCGUUGGGCAUCAAAUGGUAAACGGAGUUUUGGAUCUUGUGUAGAGUCAUUUAGUAUCAUCUGAGAGGAAAGUAAAGGAUUAUUAACAUUCUAUGCGCUUAUGGUUGCAAUUAUAUGUGCUCGUCGCCGUAAAAGGAAGUAUUAUGAGAUUUUAAAAACUUACAGAAAAUCUGAGAUCCAUAUAGUGAUAUGGAGUGUCUUUAGCCCAUUGAAUGUCGUCUGUAGCAUUUACUCGAACAGCCAUGUUAAAACUGUCGACAUCAAUUGCCCGUGUAUUCUUUAGUAAGUCUUGUAGUUGUCUAAGACUUAUACUUAGUGGGUAGGGCUUGGAGCUACGGAUCCAUUCUUUCCUAUCAAAUAAACCAUAGCAUCAACGAUAUAGUGAAAAAAUAAUAUACAUAAAUGCAGAUAUUGUUAUUUUGAAAGUUGACUUACUCUCGGGAAUCUGCAUUAUGAAUGGACAUGAUAUGACCUCGAAGUUUGCAAAGUAGCUCAUUUUUAUUAAGUGGCAUUCUCAGAACAACCAUGGCAGGUGGCGGGUCCAAUAUUUCAACACCGUCAGUAUCUAUUAUAUCGUCUGCUGGAUUAUGGUACUCAGGAGUUCCUUUUAUAUCAUUCAGAUCUGAUUCAUGGAGAAUGAUUGCUACUUUUUGCCUGAAGGGUUUGACAUCUUCCUGGAAAAAUAAUAAUUAGAAUCAAUAUAUUACAACAUUGAAUUAGAUAUGCAAUACACUUUUGUCAUCCUUCACAAAUUACCUGUGUAACAGGAUGUGACAGUUUGUGUCCUGUCCAGUAUUCAAUGAAUUGUAGCAUGAACAAGCCGCAAGAUGAUCUAUUGGUUAAAAAUAUUGGGCACAUUAGUAAUAAGCAAACAUAAGGAAUUGUUGAAUAAUAAUCAAUAAUUG
This 2349-nucleotide long non-coding RNA is filed under the name Triticum aestivum (bread wheat). RNAcentral describes it as "long non-coding RNA (TAES_LNC016233)". The record is from RNAcentral. Lineage: Eukaryota; Viridiplantae; Streptophyta; Magnoliopsida; Poales; Poaceae.